This 932-nucleotide ribosomal RNA is filed under the name Campylobacter jejuni. RNAcentral's name for it is "partial 23S ribosomal RNA". It matches the Rfam family "Bacterial large subunit ribosomal RNA", at positions 1 to 950 of the family's 2925-position model. Lineage: Bacteria; Pseudomonadati; Campylobacterota; Epsilonproteobacteria; Campylobacterales; Campylobacteraceae. The record is from RNAcentral.
AAAGGUAAGCUACUAAGAGCGAAUGGUGGAUGCCUUGACUGGUAAAGGCGAUGAAGGACGUACUAGACUGCGAUAAGCUACGGGGAGCUGUCAAGAAGCUUUGAUCCGUAGAUUUCCGAAUGGGGCAACCCAAUGUAUAGAGAUAUACAUUACCUAUAUAGGAGCGAACGAGGGGAAUUGAAACAUCUUAGUACCCUCAGGAAAAGAAAUCAAUAGAGAUUGCGUCAGUAGCGGCGAGCGAAAGCGCAAGAGGGCAAACCCAGUGCUUGCACUGGGGGUUGUAGGACUGCAAUAUGCAAGAGGUAAGUUUAGCAGAACAUUCUGGAAAGUAUAACCAUAGAGGGUGAUAGUCCCGUAUGCGAAAAACAAACCUUAGCUAGCAGUAUCCUGAGUAGGGCGGGACACGAGGAAUCCUGUCUGAAUCCGGGUCGACCACGAUCCAACCCUAAAUACUAAUACCAGAUCGAUAGUGCACAAGUACCGUGAGGGAAAGGUGAAAAGAACUGAGGUGAUCAGAGUGAAAUAGAACCUGAAACCAUUUGCUUACAAUCAUUCAGAGCCCUAUGUAGCAAUACAGGGUGAUGGACUGCCUUUUGCAUAAUGAGCCUGCGAGUUGUGGUGUCUGGCAAGGUUAAGCAAACGCGAAGCCGUAGCGAAAGCGAGUCUGAAUAGGGCGCUUAGUCAGAUGCUGCAGACCCGAAACGAAGUGAUCUAUCCAUGAGCAAGUUGAAGCUAGUGUAAGAACUAGUGGAGGACUGAACCCAUAGGCGUUGAAAAGCCCCGGGAUGACUUGUGGAUAGGGGUGAAAGGCCAAUCAAACUUCGUGAUAGCUGGUUCUCUCCGAAAUAUAUUUAGGUAUAGCGUUGUGUCGUAAUAUAAGGGGGUAGAGCACUGAAUGGGCUAGGGCAUACACCAAUGUACCAAACCCUAUC